AAGCAGGGUGAAGUGAAGCAGUGACUUCAUUUUUUUGAAAAAUUUAAAUGAGAGACUUGCAGAGAUCAACCACUGUUGAUAGCGAGAUGCUAAAUAAAUCUGAAAGACAAAACCAGUGAUUGACUGGCAAAGAUGAUCAGAUCAGUAGAAACUAUUAUUGAUUACAAUAUGAGUAAACCAUAGAAAACAUUUUUUGGUUGUAGAAUAACACCUGAAGAAAUGUACCUUACCUUAGCAACAGGUACCAAAAUGGAGUUAAGGAACAAAUGAAGAAAUUGUUGCAUUUUUCAAGUAAUAAAGAAAUUUUUACUAUUAUACCGGGCAAAGAAAAUAAUAAUGUAUCCAUUGUGCAAUUUCUGAACAAGAUGGCCACUGUGUUGAAGAAAGUACUCUAUUAACUCUUCGAGGCCGUCUACUCUUGCAAAGAAACAAGAAAUUGCGCAAAUGCGUCCUUGCCUACUCUUAUGUCGCGAAAAUUCGAAUUGGCCGGCCGAUUGACCGAGAUCGCCGUGCACAAUGAACCGUGAAGACAGUUUUUGCAAAAGUGGUUUUCAAAAGAAAAGAAGAAGACGGCGAAAAGAAGAAUAUUUGAACUCUGAAUCAACGGCAGACACUUGACAAUCCUGUUUCCUGCGAAGGACUCGUGCUGUUCGCUCGAUUUAGCGGGCACAAAGGUCACAUUCUAGUUCGUGUCCUCAGUGGCUUCCUACUUUUUCAGAAUUCGUUUCAAAACUUAACAUGGCCGUUCACGGCCAACAAGUGAUGUGAACCAAAG
Long non-coding RNA from Cimex lectularius (bed bug), 775 nucleotides. RefSeq lists it as uncharacterized. Lineage: Eukaryota; Metazoa; Arthropoda; Insecta; Hemiptera; Cimicidae. The record is from RefSeq and is a predicted model, not a curated record. The transcript is spliced from 3 exons.